CCAAAGGCUCUUUUAAGAGCCACUAACUUGUCAGUAUAAGAGCUGU
Camelus ferus (Wild Bactrian camel) is the source of this 46-nucleotide regulatory RNA element. It matches the Rfam family "Histone 3' UTR stem-loop". From Rfam's summary of the family: The mRNAs of metazoan histone genes lack a poly-A tail. 3' end processing occurs at a site between a highly conserved stem-loop (modelled by this family) and a purine rich region around 20 nts downstream (the histone downstream element, or HDE). The stem-loop is bound by a 31 kDa stem-loop binding protein (SLBP - also termed the histone hairpin binding protein, or HBP). The record is from Rfam. NCBI's taxonomy places the organism in Eukaryota, Metazoa, Chordata, Mammalia, Artiodactyla, Camelidae.